Molecule: ribosomal RNA, 253 nt
Filed under: uncultured bacterium
Lineage: Bacteria
Description: partial 16S ribosomal RNA
Rfam family: Archaeal small subunit ribosomal RNA
Source: RNAcentral
UACCAGCACCCCGAGUGGUCGGGACGAUUAUUGGGCCUAAAGCAUCCGUAGCCGGUCCUGCAAGUCUUCCGUUAAAUCCAGCUGCUCAACAGAUGGGCUGCGGGGGAUACUACAGGACUAGGAGGCGGGAGAGGCAAGCGGUACUUUAUGGGUAGGGGUAAAAUCCGUUGAUCCAUAGAAGACCACCAGUGGCGAAGGCGGCUUGCCAGAACGCGCUCGACGGUGAGGGAUGAAAGCUGGGGGAGCAAACCGG